Long non-coding RNA from Pantherophis guttatus, 436 nucleotides. RefSeq lists it as uncharacterized. The record is from RefSeq and is a predicted model, not a curated record. NCBI's taxonomy places the organism in Eukaryota, Metazoa, Chordata, Lepidosauria, Squamata, Colubridae.
AGAAACAGAAUCUUGCACAUUUGAAUGUGUUACCUUUCCUUCCUCUUUUGUCUCCAUGAAAAUUUGGGAAUCCACUUCAGAAGCCAAGACCAGUUGGUUGGCAUUAUGUUCCCCCAGCAGAACAAGCCGUUGCAUAAAGGAGUUGAGCAAUUCAUUUGCAGCAUUGCCAGAUGGGUUCAUUCCUAUCCCAGGAGUUGAAAAAAAAAAUUUAACCUGCUUUUCUAUUCUUCACGGUCACGAAGGGAUCCAAUUUACGAAGACUUUCCAAACCACCUAUUGUAAAAGUAUCUGCAUGGUAUGAGGAAAAGAUCAAAUUAUAUGUAGCCUUCCCCACAAACCCAGCAGAGAAUGUGCUGGGUAAUCAGGACAGGGAUACCUAUGGGAUGAUAUGAAAAAAAAAUGAAAUAAAGAUGACAACUGAGACAGGGUACUCAAA